RNAcentral lists this ribosomal RNA (402 nucleotides) under Escherichia coli. RNAcentral describes it as "partial 23S ribosomal RNA". It matches the Rfam family "Bacterial large subunit ribosomal RNA", at positions 2529 to 2925 of the family's 2925-position model. Lineage: Bacteria; Pseudomonadati; Pseudomonadota; Gammaproteobacteria; Enterobacterales; Enterobacteriaceae. The record is from RNAcentral.
AUGUCGGCUCAUCACAUCCUGGGGCUGAAGUAGGUCCCAAGGGUAUGGCUGUUCGCCAUUUAAAGUGGUACGCGAGCUGGGUUUAGAACGUCGUGAGACAGUUCGGUCCCUAUCUGCCGUGGGCGCUGGAGAACUGAGGGGGGCUGCUCCUAGUACGAGAGGACCGGAGUGGACGCAUCACUGGUGUUCGGGUUGUCAUGCCAAUGGCACUGCCCGGUAGCUAAAUGCGGAAGAGAUAAGUGCUGAAAGCAUCUAAGCACGAAACUUGCCCCGAGAUGAGUUCUCCCUGACCCUUUAAGGGUCCUGAAGGAACGUUGAAGACGACGACGUUGAUAGGCCGGGUGUGUAAGCGCAGCGAUGCGUUGAGCUAACCGGUACUAAUGAACCGUGAGGCUUAACCUU